This 388-nucleotide ribosomal RNA is filed under the name uncultured bacterium. Its description in RNAcentral is "bacterial SSU rRNA". It matches the Rfam family "Bacterial small subunit ribosomal RNA", at positions 27 to 417 of the family's 1533-position model. The record is from RNAcentral.
GAUUGAACGCUGGCGGCAUGCCUUACACAUGCAAGUCGAACGGCAGCACGGGAGCAAUCCUGGUGGCGAGUGGCGAACGGGUGAGUAAUACAUCGGAACGUGCCCAGUAGUGGGGGAUAACCCGGCGAAAGCCGGACUAAUACCGCAUACGACCUACGGGUGAAAGCAGGGGAUCGCAAGACCUUGCGCUAUUGGAGCGGCCGAUGUCAGAUUAGCUUGUUGGNGGGGUAAAAGCCUACCAAGGCAACGAUCUGUAGCUGGUCUGAGAGGACGACCAGCCACACUGGGACUGAGACACGGCCCAGACUCCUACGGGAGGCAGCAGUGGGGAAUUUUGGACAAUGGGCGCAAGCCUGAUCCAGCCAUGCCGCGUGCGGGAAGAAGGCCU